GGGAUUGUAGCUCAGUGGCAGAGCACUUGCCUAGUAUGUGUGAGGCCCUGGGUUCAAUCCCCAGCACCA
This 69-nucleotide transfer RNA is filed under the name Ictidomys tridecemlineatus (thirteen-lined ground squirrel). RNAcentral describes it as "Spermophilus tridecemlineatus (thirteen-lined ground squirrel) tRNA". It matches the Rfam family "tRNA". Rfam says of the family: Transfer RNA (tRNA) molecules are approximately 80 nucleotides in length. Their secondary structure includes four short double-helical elements and three loops (D, anti-codon, and T loops). The record is from Rfam by way of RNAcentral. Lineage: Eukaryota; Metazoa; Chordata; Mammalia; Rodentia; Sciuridae.